Cervus hanglu yarkandensis (Yarkand deer) is the source of this 1903-nucleotide long non-coding RNA. NCBI's taxonomy places the organism in Eukaryota, Metazoa, Chordata, Mammalia, Artiodactyla, Cervidae. The record is from Ensembl.
CUAAUCACAUCCCCUGAUUUCCAGAAAAGAAAGCUGAGGCAGAGGCAAGUUAGGUAACUUUUGUUCCUCAUUUCUCUAGGUCUAACCAAAGUGCUCUGAAUCCAGAAGGCCUUCCUCAUUCUUUUAACAAAUACUUACUGGGACCUCGGUAUCUGUCAGCCCCUGAUCUUCAAGCUGAGGAUAUCAAGGCCGCAGACAAGAGGGGAAACUCUCAGAGCCAGAAGGGGAAAGUGUUCUACAGCAGCUUCCAGAAAUAGUCAAGUUAGAAGAAGCAGAAGGGAGCCUCUGGAGUGAUCAUCUCUGGGGAUGGAGGAUGGCAGGAUGGAGUUUGCCUUGGAGGGAUUAGUCCCACCCCUGCAAUCACAGUCACUUUACUUAAGUCACAAGGGAGGGAAGGAGAGGAGUCAGAAAGGGAGGAGGGAAAGCAAGAAAGAAGGAAGGGAGGGAGGGAGGAAUUAAGGGAAAGAACUUGCCACCCCACCCCACCCCAACUCCACCCUCCCCACCCCCAGCAUCCAGUGGUUAAGCCUCUGCUCCCAGUGCAGGGGGCAGGAGUUCGAUCCCUGGUUGGGAAGCUAAGAUCCCAUAUGCUUCGUGGCAUAGCCAAUAAAAUAAAAUGAUGGAGCAUUUAUGUGAACAAAGUUCUCUUCUUAUCAAACAAAACAAUUAAAAAAAAUACACCACCCCCAAAAUAUGUCACUUUGGCAUAAAGACUAUUUGGAGCUGAGGCCAAUUGGGAAGCAGCAGACGCAGGAAAGACUCUUCUGCUACCACAUUCCCCCCUUACCUUUCUGCCUAAAAGCAGGGCAUAAAUUUCCCUUCAUAAUGGUGACAUAAAUUCUCCUUGUGAAGGUCCACUUCCCCUACCUCCAACACCCACUCAUACCAGGAGAAGGAGAACAACCUUUAUCUCCAGCGAUCAGGUGAGUCUGCAUAAACAAAUCAACCUGACUCAAACAACACUUAUCUUCCAUUAGCUUCCUCCAGAUAUAUACCUUCCCACAACUUACCAUCCCUAGUAAUCCCGACUCCUUUUCUUUUGUCUGGUCACUUCACCAUUUAUUGCCCUUUGUUAAAAUGGUGGAUAAGACCUCAGGUCUGAUCCCUUCUUUGGGUUUUCACUUUUAUUUUUCCUGUGAAGCCCCCACAUACAUAAAAAUAUUAGCAUCAAUAAAGGAACACGUGCCUUUUUCUCCAAUUAAUCUGUCUUUGUCAGUUUAAUUUGCAGGCUGCAUUAACAGAACGGAAGAGGAUAAAGGAACAGUGCUUUCCUCCCCUACUGAGGCAAGGAAGUGGGGAGAGGGAGGGAGAGAAGGAAGGAAGAAAAGGUUUUCUGACUUGGGACUGGCAUCAGAUAAUUGCUUUCCUUCCAGUUGGACAAUAAAUAAGAUGGGAGGAAUUGACAAGCCCAGGAGACUGGAGGCUGGCUUGGCUCCAUAAAGGCCCAUCAACUUCUCCAUCCUUUAUUGAACCAAGGAAAUGCUAUUAAAAUCAUCAUCUCCAGGCAAGGAAAUAUCCUUUUUACUUGGUUUGGUACUUGGAAGUCAUUUGUUUUCUAAUGAUGCUAAAUUCCACCUCUGGCAUUUACAUAUAUCUAAUUUCAAAAGGCAGACACAGGGAGAAGGCCAAGUUUUUUAAGGCUCUUGGGUUCAUUUUUGAAACCUGUCAGUGCUUCCAGGGCCAAAGAAUUCUACCAGUUGAAAUAAAAUUUUAUAUUCGCAACCAAAACUAAUAAAGCUACAUUCCACCGUGUUAAAAGUGUGUUCCUCUCAACUUUCAAAAAAGGUCAAGGAAACAAUCCACUUAAACCCUUGUAUAUUUCAGGAUUGUUAUUCCCUGAGAGUAUCUUCUCUAUUUUUCAAAUUAAGCACGUAAAUAAAAUAAAACGCAACUUAAAAACGCU